UCCCCUAGUAACUGCGAGUGAAGCGGGAAAAGCUCAAAUUUAAAAUCUGGCGGUUUUGCCGUCCGAGUUGUAAUCUGGAGAAGUGUUUUCCGUGUUGGACCGUGUACAAGUCUCUUGGAACAGAGCGUCAUAGAGGGUGAGAAUCCCGUCUUUGACACGGACUACCAAUACUUUGUGAUACGCUCUCAAAGAGUCGAGUUGUUUGGGAAUGCAGCUCAAAAUGGGUGGUAAAUUCCAUCUAAAGCUAAAUAUUGGCGAGAGACCGAUAGCGAACAAGUACCGUGAGGGAAAGAUGAAAAGCACUUUGGAAAGAGAGUUAAACAGUACGUGAAAUUGUUGAAAGGGAAACGCUUGAAGUCAGUCGCGUUGUCCGGGACUCAGCCUUGCUUCUGCUUGGUGUAUUUCCUGGUUGACGGGCCAACAUCGAUUUUGGACGGCGGAUAAAGAUGGAGGGAAUGUGGCACCUUAGGGUGUGUUAUAGCCUUCUGUCGCAUACGUCGACUGGGAUCGAGGAUCGCAGCACGCCUUUUUGGCCGGGGUUCGCCCACGUAACGUGCUUAGGAUGUUGGCAUAAUGGCUUUAAUCGACCCGUCUUGAAACACGGACCAAGGAGUCUAACAUGCCCGCGAGUGUUAGGGUGGAAAACCCUUGCGCGUAAUGAAAGUGAAAGUUGGGACCUCUGUCAUGGAGGGCACCGACGCCCGGCCUUGAGCUUUUGUGACGGUGCCGCGGUAGAGCGUGUAUGUUGGGACCCGAAAGAUGGUGAACUAUGCCUGAAUAGGGCGAAGCCAGAGGAAACUCUGGUGGAGGCUCGUAGCGAUUCUGACGUGCAAAUCGAUCGUCAAAUUUGGGUAUAGGGGCGAAAGACUAAUCGAACCAUCUAGUAGCUGGUUCCUGCCGAA
RNAcentral lists this ribosomal RNA (902 nucleotides) under Blasiphalia pseudogrisella. Its description in RNAcentral is "LSU rRNA". It matches the Rfam family "Eukaryotic large subunit ribosomal RNA", at positions 76 to 965 of the family's 3401-position model. Lineage: Eukaryota; Fungi; Basidiomycota; Agaricomycetes. The record is from RNAcentral.